UCCCAGAGGAGACGAGGUCACUG
RNAcentral lists this microRNA (23 nucleotides) under Equus caballus (horse). RNAcentral describes it as "eca-miR-9015". Lineage: Eukaryota; Metazoa; Chordata; Mammalia; Perissodactyla; Equidae. The record is from miRBase by way of RNAcentral.